GGGGAGAGAAGAAGGUUUGAGAAGGAUCAGAGAGCGAGCUUCAUGCUUUGGGGUGGAGAAAAAAGACAGAGAUUGGGUUUUUUUUUCUUCAUAGGGUAUUGAGAAGACUGAGGCAAUCGUUGCUGAAUAGUCGAAGUGUUGUACUGGAAUCGAGAUUUUUAAUGAAGUGGGUGUGAUUGCUCUUGACUGUUUUGUCAAAUCGAGUUACGUCUGUGAUAAAGAAUUAAAAAGGUAUCUAUAGGAUUGAGUAUGCGGAGUGAAUGAAAUUUAUUGAGUUAAUCUAACGAGACAGUCAAUGGAUACAAGAUCGCGAGUAUAAAG
RNAcentral lists this long non-coding RNA (321 nucleotides) under Physcomitrium patens. RNAcentral describes it as "long non-coding RNA (PPAT_LNC011019)". The record is from RNAcentral. Lineage: Eukaryota; Viridiplantae; Streptophyta; Bryopsida; Funariales; Funariaceae.